AGUGAACGCUGGCGGUAGGCCUAACACAUGCAAGUCGAACGGCAGCACAGUAAGAGCUUGCUCUUACGGGUGGCGAGUGGCGGACGGGUGAGGAAUACAUCGGAAUCUACUUUUUCGUGGGGGAUAACGUAGGGAAACUUACGCUAAUACCGCAUACGACCUACGGGUGAAAGCAGGGGAUCUUCGGACCUUGCGCGAUUGAAUGAGCCGAUGUCGGAUUAGCUAGUUGGCGGGGUAAAGGCCCACCAAGGCGACGACCCGUAGCUGGUCUGAGAGGAUGAUCAGCCACACUGGAACUGAGACACGGUCCAGACUCCUACGGGAGGCAGCAGUGGGGAAUAUUGGACAAAGGGCGCAAGCCUGAUCCAGCCAUACCGCGUGGGUGAAGAAGGCCUUCGGGUUGUAAAGCCCUUUUGUUGGGAAAGAAAAGCAGCAGGUUAAUACCCCGCUGUUCUGACGGUACCCAAAGAGUAAGCACCGGCUAACUUCGUG
RNAcentral lists this ribosomal RNA (492 nucleotides) under uncultured bacterium. RNAcentral describes it as "partial 16S ribosomal RNA". It matches the Rfam family "Bacterial small subunit ribosomal RNA", at positions 29 to 507 of the family's 1533-position model. The record is from RNAcentral.